UGCAUAGAUUAUUUCAAUUGAAAUAAUGAUUGAUGAGGAAAUUGAGUCCAAGAGAGUUUCACUAUCUUGCCCAGGGCCACAUAGCUGGUCAGUGUUUAUUAAAGUCCAGGAGUCUACCCAAGACAGUGCCUUGAUAACUCAACUGUAGACCUUAUGAAGAUGGCAGAGUAGAGGCAACCAUCCAACUGAACUCUCAACGUUCCCUUCCAAACAACUAUAAAAUGAGUCAAGUCAAAUUUUGAAGCACACAACAAAAGGUCAGGAUGGGACAUUUUUCUGAUCUAAGGAAACUCAGAUGGUUCAUAGGAGAGGUCUGUGACAUCUGGGUGGAGGCUUGCCCAAAGCACACACAAAUGAUGGUACCCACAGGGGCUGUAGCAACAGCAGCUUCAGGAACUCUCCAAACAGAGAGGGUAAAAUGAUCAGCUUCCAGGCUAAGGAGAAAAUAUUGGAAGAAGCCAGAAAGAGACAAUUCAGAUAUCAAGGAGCCUCAGUCAGGAUUACACAGGAACUGGCAGCCUCCACAUUAAAGGACCACAAGGCUUGGAAUAUGAUAUGCAGAAGGGCAAGAGAAUUGGGCCUACAACCAAGGAUCACCUACCCAUCAAAACUGACUCUAUACUUCCAGGGAAAAGUAUGAGUAUUUAACAAAAUAGAAGAUUUCCAAGUAUUUGUAAAGAAAAGAUCAG
This 689-nucleotide long non-coding RNA is filed under the name Monodelphis domestica (gray short-tailed opossum). RNAcentral's name for it is "lncRNA (ENSMODG00000047505.1)". The record is from RNAcentral. Lineage: Eukaryota; Metazoa; Chordata; Mammalia; Didelphimorphia; Didelphidae.